Molecule: long non-coding RNA, 739 nt
Organism: Ostrea edulis (European flat oyster)
Lineage: Eukaryota; Metazoa; Mollusca; Bivalvia; Ostreida; Ostreidae
Exons: 3
Source: RefSeq, a predicted model, not a curated record
UACAACUCUUACGAAUAUCAUUUAUCUACACUCUGUAGUAAUUAACAAAACAUCCGAUUAACUCUCCUCAUGUUUCGCCGACAUUUUCUUCCUUUGCUUGUCUGUGGACUUUUAGUGUGUCUAAGUAAUAGUUCAUCGUCGGCAGACAGAAACUAUAAGAUAUGAAAAACUGCAAAAAACAAAAUUGGUUCUACAAAGUGGAGUGUCCAAAAUGCCUGGAGAGGCAACAGCGGUUACGUGAACAGGUGGAAGUGCAAUCUGUUCGUUUAUGACGUCCUUCUGAAAGCCAAAGCAGAGGUACCAUCCAGGAGACCUUGGGGACACUAUCCCAUUGGUGCCAACGCGUGGGCUAACCCUAGGUCUUGGUAUGUCAGAUGGACUGGGUGCUACAGAAGAGUGUCGGACAAUAGGAAACGAAAAGGUGACGUCAUAGCAUUUCAAGGACGUGGUACUAGUGGACACAUGGGGAUAGUUUCUACCAAUGGCUUUUACAUCAGUGCUGGCAAACACACGGUUACAGAAACGUCCAUCAAGGGGUUUCUGCGAGGAAACAAGAUAGUGCGGACAACCAUCUGGAGAUAUACUUGCUAAAUGCCUUCCUUUCGCUGCCUCGAUUGGUGUCUAUGAAUAAAAAUAAACAACGUAGAAAAACGCAAAUAUUUUUGUUGGAUAAUUUCAUGGAUAUUUUUCUGUGAAAUGUCAUACAUGGAUAUAUGACAUGUCUUUCAAUAUAACACAA